AGGUGGGCACUCCUGAGGCUGCAGAGCGGAGGAGACUACCAACACUGCCCACCCCUGCCCACAUCCCUGGCCCAAGAGGAAACUGUAUAAGGCCUCUGGGCUCCCGUGGGGGAGGGCCCAGGAGCAGCAGGACCCCUGCCUGAGAUACCACCGGAACCUGAGGGAAACAGACCGGAUAAACAGUUCUCUGCACCCAAAUCCCGUGGGAGGGAGAGCUGAACCUUCAGAGAGGCAGACACGCUUGGGAAACCAGAAGAGACUGCACUCUGCGCACAUCCAGACGCCAGAGGAAAACACCAAACGCCAUCUGGAACCCAGGUGCUCGGAGGCUCCCGGAAAGAACUGCGCAGAUCUUCCCGGUUGCAGCCGCCGCAGAGAGGACUUAGGCAGUACCCCACGAGCAAACUUGAGCCUUGGAACCACAGGUAGGACAAACUUUUCCCCUGCAAGAAACCUGCCUGGUGAACUCAAGUCACAGGCCCACAGGAACAGCUGAAGACCUGUAGAGAGGAAAAACUACACGCCCGAAAGCAGAACACUCUGUCCCCAUAACUGGCUGAAAGAAAACAGGAAAA
Molecule: long non-coding RNA, 575 nt
Filed under: Rattus norvegicus (Norway rat)
Lineage: Eukaryota; Metazoa; Chordata; Mammalia; Rodentia; Muridae
Description: long non-coding RNA NONRATT025994
Source: RNAcentral